UAAUACGGAGGUGGCAAGCGUUACUCGGAAUCAUUGGGUGUAAAGGGCAAGUAGGCGGUCUAAUAAGUGAGGGGUGAAAUCCUGCGACUCAAUCGCAGAACUGCCUUUCAAACUGCUAGACUUGAGGUAAGAAGAGGAAAAUGGAAUUCUCGGUGUAAGGGUGAAAUCUGUAGAUAUCGAGAAGAACACCAACGGCGAAGGCAAUUUUCUACUCUUAUCCUGACGCUAAAUUGCGAAAGCUAGGGGAGCAAACAGAAUUAGAUACUCUGGUAGUCCUAGCCGUAAACGAUGAGCACUAGGUGUUGGUUCCUUUGGGACCAGUGCCGCAGCUAACGCAUUAAGUGCUCCACCUGGGGACUACGGUCGCAAGGCUA
This 374-nucleotide ribosomal RNA is filed under the name uncultured bacterium. RNAcentral describes it as "bacterial SSU rRNA". It matches the Rfam family "Bacterial small subunit ribosomal RNA", at positions 521 to 896 of the family's 1533-position model. The record is from RNAcentral.